Molecule: ribosomal RNA, 430 nt
Filed under: uncultured soil bacterium
Lineage: Bacteria
Description: bacterial SSU rRNA
Rfam family: Bacterial small subunit ribosomal RNA
Source: RNAcentral
AGAUUGAACGCUGGCGGCAGGCCUAACACAUGCAAGUCGAGCGGCAGCACGGGUACUUGUACCUGGUGGCGAGCGGCGGACGGGUGAGUAAUGCCUAGGAAUCUGCCUGGUAGUGGGGGAUAACGCUCGGAAACGGACGCUAAUACCGCAUACGUCCUACGGGAGAAAGCAGGGGACCUUCGGGCCUUGCGCUAUCAGAUGAGCCUAGGUCGGAUUAGCUAGUUGGUGAGGUAAUGGCUCACCAAGGCGACGAUCCGUAACUGGUCUGAGAGGAUGAUCAGUCACACUGGAACUGAGACGACGGUCCAGACUCCUACGGGAGGCAGCAGUGGGAAUAUUGGACAAGUGGGCGAAAGCCUGAUCAGCCAUGCCGCGUGUGUGAAGAAGGUUCGUUACGGAUUAGUAAAGCGUAACGUUUAAGGUUGGAAGG